RNAcentral lists this transfer RNA (70 nucleotides) under Acropyga arnoldi. RNAcentral describes it as "tRNA-Lys". The record is from RNAcentral. Lineage: Eukaryota; Metazoa; Arthropoda; Insecta; Hymenoptera; Formicidae.
CAUUAAAUAACUGAAAGUAAGUUUUGAUUUUUUAAAUCAACCAUAAUAGACUAACAACUAUUUUUAAUGA